Molecule: ribosomal RNA, 126 nt
Filed under: uncultured bacterium
Lineage: Bacteria
Description: partial 16S ribosomal RNA
Rfam family: Bacterial small subunit ribosomal RNA
Source: RNAcentral
UGAUGCAGCAACGCCGCGUGAGUGAUGAAGGCUUUCGGGUCGUAAAACUCUGUCCUUGGGGAAGAAUAAAAUGACGGUACCCAAGGAGGAAGCCCCGGCUAACUACGUGCCAGCAGCCGCGGUAAU